AUGACCGACAUUUUCGUAAUCCUCGUGAAAUUUGGGGUCGAAUCCAUGUGUCAGUAGAAAAUACCCGAAAAUCGUCAAAAAGACCCAGACCCCGGACCUUUUGGUCAAAUUGGACUUUUCGCCAAAAACGGUUCAAAAUAGAUCAGACACACCUAAAAUUUCAUGGGGAUCAUGAAAAUCGUAUUCGUUUUGUUGUGGGCUCAGUAUUUCUGGAGAUAUAGGCUACUUCCGGUCAUUUCCGAUAAUUUUUUUUUUCAAUUUCGCCAAAACUAAACAAUGAACAUUAAUAUUCCAAACAUUUUAAGCAUGUUAAUCAUAAGUGUAAUGGUGUGCCGGCUUUUUUCGUGUUUAUUUUGCUAUUUUACUACUGGCUGAUCGUGCAAGUUGCUUGUCUACGAUAUGUUAAGCGCUGUGUCCUGCAACGAUAUAGGCUACUUCCGGUAAAUUUUUGUUUCAACUUCGCAAAAAGUAAAAAAGAAUGAACAUUAAUAUUCCAACGAUUUUAAGAAUACCGAAAAGACAGGAAAGAGGAGCGAAUAAGGCGAUUGAUUCCGGAAAGAAAAACUAGAUGACGCAAUGGCGAAUUGCUAUUGUUGUGUGAUUACGAGUAAUGAGUGAAAAACUGUGUUUGAAAUAUUCGUUAAGUUUUGUUGUACCUAAAGGAAAAUUCAGCUGAAACCUAUCGGUAAUUCCUUGUUAUCGGCUCCCGAUCAAGCUGGUGAAAUUAAAAAGAAAUAUCUUUGCAACCCUUGUCAGUUGCUUACCAGUAUACAUACUCUAGUAUGUGACUUAUUGAUUGUUCAUAAACUGUAACCGGAAAGGAAUUGAAACUGGGGCAAUGUCAAUGUGAGGAAUUCAGUGGAAUAUCACCACCUCAUUCUAAAUCCCUUUGCCCAUUUCAACUCCUGACAGUUCCAAACUGAAAAGUGUAGCACAUUACUCUAUGUUGUGGUGCCAACGAUUAAACACCACAAUUCAGUAGCCUUCAUGUCAUUUCUACUUAAUCAGCCAACACAAAAAGACGUGGGCCACAGCAUCAUCACUUCUUGGACUGUCUGAUCUGUUCUUCUACCAGAAAAUUGCCUGGCCUACAAUUUUCUAUGUCUUGAAAUAACUGAUAACUAUUGUAUUCUCCUGUUCAGUUCCAUGGAAAAUUGAUCAUCAAGAUUCUAAGAGAUCUCUUCAAGAUCUUUUGCUCCAUCUUCGCCGGCCGCCCAGUCUUCGCCUCGCCCGUCGCCUCGUCUUCACUUUGCCCGUCGCCCCGUCUUCGCCUCGUCCGUCGCCUCGUCUUCAUUUUGCCUGUCGCCCCGUCUUCGCCUCGCCCGUCGCCCCGUCUUCGCUUUGCCCGUCGCCUCGUGGUUGCCGUGUCAUCAAGUCGCCGUCGUGGUAUCGUUGUAUUUUGUUUUGCUUUUUUGUGUGUCGUGUAAUUAACCCGUUGGCUGCCACGCCUCUUUGCUCCCCUUUUUUUUUUAGCUUGAUAGGGACGGGCCGCGCUGCUCUACUCCACGGUCUAUGUGCCGUGGGGUGGAGCAGUCGCCACUGCCCAAGAUUCGCCGUAAGGCGCACAGGCAAUGCACCACAGGGCCUCCCUUUGCAGAUACGAUGCUUGGUUGCCAGGGUGUGCAUUCCCGUACUGGUUUCCAACAUCGUGUCACCCCGGACCAUUGUGUCCCCUUUGGUCGCGAUCCCUCUGAUCGCGAUGUAGUAACCGUAGAUUUUGAGGCGUGGCAGCCAACGCGUUAGUUAAGUGUAUUUGUUGUAUAUGUAUUGUACUUUAUUGUGAAAUGUAAAAUGUA
Molecule: long non-coding RNA, 1796 nt
Organism: Daphnia carinata
Lineage: Eukaryota; Metazoa; Arthropoda; Branchiopoda; Diplostraca; Daphniidae
Exons: 5
Source: RefSeq, a predicted model, not a curated record